UUAAGCGACUAAGCGUACACGGUGGAUGCCCUGGCAGUCAGAGGCGAUGAAGGACGUGCUAAUCUGCGAUAAGCGUCGGUAAGGUGAUAUGAACCGUUAUAACCGGCGAUUUCCGAAUGGGGAAACCCAGUGUGUUUCGACACACUAUCAUUAACUGAAUCCAUAGGUUAAUGAGGCGAACCGGGGGAACUGAAACAUCUAAGUACCCCGAGGAAAAGAAAUCAACCGAGAUUCCCCCAGUAGCGGCGAGCGAACGGGGAGGAGCCCAGAGCCUGAAUCAGUGUGUGUGUUAGUGGAAGCGUCUGGAAAGGCGCGCGAUACAGGGUGACAGCCCCGUACACAAAAAUGCACAUACUGUGAGCUCGAUGAGUAGGGCGGGACACGUGGUAUCCUGUCUGAAUAUGGGGGGACCAUCCUCCAAGGCUAAAUACUCCUGACUGACCGAUAGUGAACCAGUACCGUGAGGGAAAGGCGAAAAGAACCCCGGCGAGGGGAGUGAAAAAGAACCUGAAACCGUGUACGUACAAGCAGUGGGAGCCUCUUUAUGGGGUGACUGCGUACCUUUUGUAUAAUGGGUCAGCGACUUAUAUUCUGUAGCAAGGUUAACCGAAUAGGGGAGCCGAAGGGAAACCGAGUCUUAACUGGGCGUUAAGUUGCAGGGUAUAGACCCGAAACCCGGUGAUUCAGCCAUGGGCAGGUUGAAGGUUGGGUAACACUAACUGGAGGACCGAACCGACUAAUGUUGAAAAAUUAGCGGAUGACUUGUGGCUGGGGUGAAAGGCCAAUCAAACCGGGAGAUAGCUGGUUCUCCCCGAAAGCUAUUUAGGUAGCGCCCGUGAAUUCAUCUCCGGGGUAGAGCACUGUUUCGGCAAGGGGGUCAUCCCGACUUACCAACCCGAUGCAAACUGCGAAUACCGGAGAAUGUUAUCACGGGAGACACACGGCGGGUGCUAACGUCCGUCGUGAAGAGGGAAACAACCCAGACCGCCAGCUAAGGUCCCAAAGUCAUGGUUAAGUGGGAAACGAUGUGGGAAGGCCCAGACAGCGUGAUGUUGGCUUAGAAGCAGCCAUCAUUUAAAGAAAGCGUAAUAGCUCACUGGUCGAGUCGGCCUGCGCGGAAGAUGUAACGGGCUAAACCAUGCACCGAAGCUGCGGCAGCGACGCUUAUGCGUUGUUGGGUAGGGGAGCGUUCUGUAAGCCUGCGAAGGUGUGCUGUGAGGCAUGCUGGAGGUAUCAGAAGUGCGAAUGCUGACAUAAGUAACGAUAAAGCGGGUGAAAAGCCCGCUCGCCGGAAGACCAAGGGUUCCUGUCCAACGUUAAUCGGGGCAGGGUGAGUCGACCCUAAGGCGAGGCCGAAAGGCGUAGUCGAUGGGAAACAGGUUAAUAUUCCUGUACUUGGUGUUACUGCGAAGGGGGACGGAGAAGGCUAUGUUGGCCGGGCGACGGUUGUCCCGGUUUAAGCGUGUAGGCUGGUUUUCCGUGCAAAUCCGGAAAAUCAAGGCUGAGGCGUGAUGACGAGGCACUACGGUGCUGAAGCAACAAAUGCCCUGCUUCCGUGAAAAGCCUCUAAGCAUCAGGUAACAUCAAAUCGUACCCCAAACCGACACAGGUGGUCAGGUAGAGAAUACCAAGGCGCUUGAGAGAACUCGGGUGAAGGAACUAGGCAAAAUGGUGCCGUAACUUCGGGAGAAGGCACGCUGAUAUGUAGGUGAAGCGACUUGCUCGUGGAGCUGAAAUCAGUCGAAGAUACCAGCUGGCUGCAACUGUUUAUUAAAAACACAGCACUGUGCAAACACGAAAGUGGACGUAUACGGUGUGACGCCUGCCCGGUGCCGGAAGGUUAAUUGAUGGGGUUAGCGGUAACGCGAAGCUCUUGAUCGAAGCCCCGGUAAACGGCGGCCGUAACUAUAACGGUCCUAAGGUAGCGAAAUUCCUUGUCGGGUAAGUUCCGACCUGCACGAAUGGCGUAAUGAUGGCCAGGCUGUCUCCACCCGAGACUCAGUGAAAUUGAACUCGCUGUGAAGAUGCAGUGUACCCGCGGCAAGACGGAAAGACCCCGUGAACCUUUACUAUAGCUUGACACUGAACAUUGAGCCUUGAUGUGUAGGAUAGGUGGGAGGCUUUGAAGUGUGGACGCCAGUCUGCAUGGAGCCGACCUUGAAAUACCACCCUUUAAUGUUUGAUGUUCUAACGUUGGCCCGUAAUCCGGGUUGCGGACAGUGUCUGGUGGGUAGUUUGACUGGGGCGGUCUCCUCCUAAAGAGUAACGGAGGAGCACGAAGGUUGGCUAAUCCUGGUCGGACAUCAGGAGGUUAGUGCAAUGGCAUAAGCCAGCUUGACUGCGAGCGUGACGGCGCGAGCAGGUGCGAAAGCAGGUCAUAGUGAUCCGGUGGUUCUGAAUGGAAGGGCCAUCGCUCAACGGAUAAAAGGUACUCCGGGGAUAACAGGCUGAUACCGCCCAAGAGUUCAUAUCGACGGCGGUGUUUGGCACCUCGAUGUCGGCUCAUCACAUCCUGGGGCUGAAGUAGGUCCCAAGGGUAUGGCUGUUCGCCAUUUAAAGUGGUACGCGAGCUGGGUUUAGAACGUCGUGAGACAGUUCGGUCCCUAUCUGCCGUGGGCGCUGGAGAACUGAGGGGGGCUGCUCCUAGUACGAGAGGACCGGAGUGGACGCAUCACUGGUGUUCGGGUUGUCAUGCCAAUGGCACUGCCCGGUAGCUAAAUGCGGAAGAGAUAAGUGCUGAAAGCAUCUAAGCACGAAACUUGCCCCGAGAUGAGUUCUCCCUGAGACUUUAAGUCUCCUGAAGGAACGUUGAAGACGACGACGUUGAUAGGCCGGGUGUGUAAGCGCAGCGAUGCGUUGAGCUAACCGGUACUAAUGAACCGUGAGGCUUAACCU
RNAcentral lists this ribosomal RNA (2895 nucleotides) under Escherichia coli. RNAcentral describes it as "23S ribosomal RNA". It matches the Rfam family "Bacterial large subunit ribosomal RNA". Lineage: Bacteria; Pseudomonadati; Pseudomonadota; Gammaproteobacteria; Enterobacterales; Enterobacteriaceae. The record is from RNAcentral.